AACGAACGCUGGCGGCAUGCCUAACACAUGCAAGUCGAACGAGACCUUCGGGUCUAGUGGCGCACGGGUGCGUAACGCGUGGGAACCUGCCCUUAGGUUCGGAAUAACUCGGAGAAAUUUGAGCUAAUACCGGAUAAUGUCUUCGGACCAAAGAUUUAUCGCCUUUGGAUGGGCCCGCGUAGGAUUAGCUUGUUGGUGGGGUAAUGGCCUACCAAGGCGACGAUCCUUAGCUGGUCUGAGAGGAUGAUCAGCCACACUGGGACUGAGACACGGCCCAGACUCCUACGGGAGGCAGCAGUGGGGAAUAUUGGACAAUGGGCGAAAGCCUGAUCCAGCAAUGCCGCGUGAGUGGUGAAGGCCUUAGGGUUGUAAAGCUCUUUUACCAGGGAUGAUAAUGACAGUACCUGGAGAAUAAGCGCCGGCUAACUCCGUG
RNAcentral lists this ribosomal RNA (433 nucleotides) under uncultured bacterium. RNAcentral describes it as "partial 16S ribosomal RNA". It matches the Rfam family "Bacterial small subunit ribosomal RNA", at positions 29 to 507 of the family's 1533-position model. The record is from RNAcentral.